Anolis carolinensis (green anole) is the source of this 486-nucleotide non-coding RNA. The record is from the annotation of a RefSeq genome assembly. NCBI's taxonomy places the organism in Eukaryota, Metazoa, Chordata, Lepidosauria, Squamata, Anolidae.
UCCUCAAGUCCUUUUAGUCCAGAAGAAGGGGGCUGCCAAUAAGCCAUGGCACUGACGUUCUUCAUCAGUUUCUUAAUGGUCUUCCCUGCAAACAUUGUCUCCCAAGUUACCCUCACUGAAUCUGGGGGUGGCAUGAAGAAGCCAGGGGAAACUCUGCAUCUGACCUGUACAGUCUCUGGAUUUUCUGUGACUGACAGCAGCUACGCAGUCUGCUUGAUUCGUCAGUUCUUAGGAAAGACCUUGGAAUGGAUUGCAGAAAUCUGGGGUAGUGGAAGCACUUACUACAACAGCGCUCUCCGAAGCAGGGUCUCCAUCAGCAAGGACACAUCAAAAAGUCAAGUGGUCUUUCAGCUGAGUGGCUUGAAGCCCGAAGACACAGCUGUGUAUUACUGUGCACGACACACAGUGAGGAAAUCCUUUAAAGACAUAAAACAAAAACCGUUCUUUCUUUAAAUAAUACAUUAGUCAUUCAAGGGUUUGUGGGCA